GGCCCGAGUGGUAACCGUUAUUAUUGGGUCUAAAGGGUCCGUAGCCGGCCAAGUAAGUCUCUUGGGAAAUCUGGCAGCUUAACUGUCAGGCUGCCAAGGGAUACUGCUUGGCUUGGGACCGGGAGAGGUGAGAGGUACCUCAGGGGUAGGGGUGAAAUCUUGUAAUCCUUGAGGGACCGCCAGUGGCGAAGGCGUCUCACCAGAACGGGUCCGACGGCAAGGGACGAAAGCUAGGGGCACGAACCGGAUUAGAUACCCGGGUAGUCCUAGCCGUAAACGAUACUCGUUAGGUGUCAGCCACGGUGCGACCGUGGUUGGUGCCGUAGGGAAGCCGUGAAGCGAGCCACCUGGGAAGUACGGCCGCAAGGCUGAAACUUAAAGGAAUUGGCGGGGGAGCACUACAACGGGUGGAGCCUGCGGUUUAAUUGGAUUCAACGCCGGAAAGCUCACCGGGGGCGACAGCAAUAUGAAGGUCAGGCUGAAGACCUUACCAGAUUCGCUGAGAGGUGGUGCAUGGCCGUCGUCAGUUCGUACUGUGAAGCAUCCUGUUAAGUCAGGCAACGAGCGAGACCCGCGCCCACAGUUGCCAGCAUACCCUCUGGGGUGAUGGGUACACUGUGGGGACCGCCGCUGCUAAAGCGGAGGAAGGAACGGGCAACGGUAGGUCAGUAUGCCCCGAAUCUCCCGGGCUACACGCGGGCUACAAUGGUUGGCACAAUGGGUAUCUACCCCGAAAGGGGAUGGAAAUCUCCUAAAGCCAAUCGUAGUUCGGAUUGAGGGCUGAAACUCGCCCUCAUGAAGCUGGAAUCCGUAGUAAUCGCGUUUCAACAAAACGCGGUGAAUACGUCCCUGCUCCUUGCA
This 861-nucleotide ribosomal RNA is filed under the name uncultured archaeon. Its description in RNAcentral is "bacterial SSU rRNA". It matches the Rfam family "Archaeal small subunit ribosomal RNA", at positions 481 to 1341 of the family's 1478-position model. The record is from RNAcentral.